GUAUAUGUGGGCUUUCCCCGUUCUCUCUCUCUCUCACUCACAUACAUACACACAUCUCAACCUCCUCCUCCUUUUCCACAUCCGGGGUCACGCGGCUUUCGCUUCCUGCUGCGGUUUGUUUGUUUGUUUGUUGUUUGUUUUUUCGGGGUGGGGAGGGGAGAGGAAAGAGCCUUGGAGACAAGACAGACAGACAGACAGAAAGAGACGGAAGGAAGGAAGGACCCGAAUGAGGGACCCAACCGCCGCCUGGUCGCGAGCGCGCGCGCGUCACCGUGGCUCCGUCAACUGAAGGAGGAGGCGCAGAGAGAGGGAGACUGAGAAAGCUCGCGCCUCCUUUUCUGACAGAGGAAAGCCGAGCGGGUGAGGGAGCGCGAGCGCGAGCGGGCACGCGCCGCUGGAAUUUUCAAAGAGGGAGGGAGGGAGGGGGGCGACGGGCGACCCAAACUGCCGGCGGCGGCGGGGCCUGUCUUCGGGGCUUCGGUUUCCGUUGGCCUCGGCGCCCCUCGCCCGGUUCGCUCCUUCGCCUCAGGCUCCGGUCCACGCGGGGAAAGACGGAGGUUGGUACCUUGAUUAGACACUUGACCUUCAGUCAGCUCUGCUAAUCUUGGAAAUAAAUAUGUUCAAAAUGAUAAUAAGUUUAGAUCCUUGCAGUGAAGAUUCAUACAGAAUGAAUUCCCAGAGUUGAAAAACAGUUCGUGUAAAGAAGACCGUAGCAAUGUUUCUAGAUUAUAUGAAAGAUCCACAUCUUGGUACUUCACAACAUACAGAUAACAGAACAUCCAAUAAUGUGAUCAUCAUGUGAAACAGAAGCCUGUGUAGGAUCUGCUGAUCCAAGAGAAUAAGAGGUUGCAGGUUUUCCUGCAGGAAUCUACAAACAUAGUCUUUUGAUAAUCUCAAGAGAAGGUACCUAAUAAAAAUGCCUCCAAGGCCAUCAUCCGGUGAACUGUGGGGCAUCCAUUUGAUGCCACCAAGAAUCCUAGUAGAAUGUCUUCUACCUAAUGGCAUGAUAGUGACUUUAGAAUGCCUCCGUGAGGCCACCUUGUUAAAUAUUAAGCACGAACUUUUUAAAGAAGCUCGGAAAUACCCUCUCUAUCAGCUCCUUCAAGAUGAGUCCUCUUACAUUUUCGUAAGUGUUACACAAGAAGCAGAAAGGGAAGAAUUUUUCGAUGAAACACGGCGACUUUGUGAUCUACGACUCUUCCAGCCUUUUCUAAAAGUCAUAGAGCCAGUAGGCAACAGAGAAGAGAAAAUUCUGAAUCGGGAAAUUGGUUUUGCUAUUGGCAUGCCUAUCUGUGAAUUUGACUUGGUUAAGGAUCCAGAAGUUCAGGACUUCAGAAGAAACAUUCUUAAUGUUUGUAAAGAAGCAGUAGAUCUGCGAGAUGCUAACGCACCCCAUAGCAGAGCAUUGUAUGUCUGUCCCCCAAACAUAGAAUCUUCGCCCGAGCUGCCCAAGCAUAUAUACAAUAAACUUGAUAAAGGACAAAUAAUAGUGGUGAUAUGGGUAAUAGUCUCCCCCAACAAUGACAAGCAGAAGUACACUUUAAAAAUCAAUCACGAUUAUGUGCCAGAACAAGUCAUCGCUGAAGCAAUCAGGAAAAAAACACGAAGUAUGUUGCUGUCAUCUGAACAGCUAAAGCUCUGUGUGUUAGAGUACCAGGGGAAGUAUAUUUUAAAAGUAUGUGGUUGUGAUGAAUAUUUACUAGAAAAACAUCCCCUGAGUCAAUACAAGUACAUCCGGAGUUGUAUCAUGCUUGGUCGAAUGCCCAAUUUGAUGCUGAUGGCUAAGGAAAGUCUUUACACCCAGCUGCCAUUGGAUACCUUUACAAUGCCAUCUUAUUCUAGGCGUAUUUCUACAGCUACACCAUACAUGAAUGGAGAAGCUUCAGCCAAAUCCCUCUGGGCUAUUAACAGUAAUCUCAGAAUAAAGAUUCUCUGUGCUACCUAUGUAAAUGUAAAUAUUCGAGAUAUUGACAAGAUUUAUGUCCGAACUGGCAUCUAUCAUGGAGGAGAGCCAUUAUGUGAUAAUGUGAAUACUCAGAGAGUACCUUGUUCCAAUCCCAGGUGGAAUGAGUGGCUGCAGUAUGAGAUGCACGUUCUUGAUCUUCCACGUGCGGCUCGGCUUUGCCUUUCUAUCUGCUCCGUUAAAGGGAGGAAAGGUGCAAAGGAGGAGCACUGUCCAUUGGCGUGGGGGAAUAUUAACAUGUUUGAUUACACAGACACUCUUGUUUCUGGCAAAAUGGCUCUGAAUCUGUGGCCUGUACCCCAUGGGUUGGAAGACCUGCUAAAUCCCAUUGGAGUCACUGGAUCAAAUCCCAAUAAGGAAACUCCUUGUUUAGAGCUGGAAUUUGAUUGGUUUAGCAGUCCUGUUAAGUUUCCCGACAUGUCUGUAAUUGAAGACCAUGCCAAUUGGACUAUAUCUCGAGAACUAGGGUUUAACUACAGUCAUGCAGGACUGAGUAAUAGACUAGCACGAGAUAAUGAAUUAAGAGAUUGUGACAAAGAGCAGCUGCGUUCAAUCUGCACUCGAGACCCACUGUCUGAAAUAACUGAACAAGAAAAGGAUUUCCUUUGGAGCCACAGGCAUUACUGUGUAAAUACGCCAGAAAUCCUACCUAAAUUGCUUUUGUCUGUCAAAUGGAACUCUAGAGAUGAAGUAGCCCAGAUGUACUGCUUGAUAAAAGACUGGCCUCCCAUCAAGCCUGAACAGGCGAUGGAGCUUUUGGACUGCAAUUACCCAGAUCCGAUGGUGCGAGCGUUUGCAAUUCGAUGUCUAGAAAAAUAUCUGACAGAUGACAAACUCUCUCAGUAUUUGAUUCAGCUGGUACAGGUUCUGAAAUACGAGCAGUACUUGGAUAAUCUGCUCGUGAGAUUUUUACUGAAGAAGGCACUGACCAAUCAAAGAAUAGGACAUUUCUUCUUUUGGCAUUUAAAGUCUGAAAUGCACAACAAAAAUGUGAGCCAGAGGUUUGGUCUGCUUUUGGAGUCAUAUUGCCGAGCAUGUGGGAUGUACCUUAAACACUUGAGCAGGCAGGUAGAAGCUAUGGAAAAACUUAUUAACCUCACAGACAUCCUUAAACAGGAGAAAAAGGAUGAAACCCAAAAGGUACAGAUGAAAUUCCUUGUGGAGCAAAUGAGGCGGCCAGACUUCAUGGAUGCACUGCAAGGCUUUAUAUCUCCUCUCAAUCCUGCUCAUCAGCUUGGAAAUCUUAGGCUUGAGGAGUGCAGGAUUAUGUCAUCUGCUAAAAGGCCACUUUGGCUUAAUUGGGAAAACCCAGAUAUCAUGUCUGAGCUGCUGUUUCAGAAUAAUGAAAUCAUCUUUAAAAAUGGAGAUGAUCUACGUCAGGAUAUGUUGACACUUCAAAUCAUAAGAAUCAUGGAAAACAUCUGGCAAAACCAAGGGCUUGAUCUUAGGAUGCUGCCUUAUGGUUGUUUAUCUAUUGGCGACUGUGUGGGGCUCAUUGAGGUUGUGAGAAAUUCACACACAAUCAUGCAGAUCCAGUGCAAAGGUGGCCUUAAAGGAGCACUGCAAUUCAACAGCCAUACGUUACAUCAGUGGCUCAAAGACAAGAACAAAGGGGAAAUGUAUGAUGCAGCUAUUGAUUUGUUUACACGCUCUUGUGCUGGCUAUUGUGUGGCUACUUUCAUACUGGGAAUUGGAGAUCGUCACAAUAGCAAUAUCAUGGUGAAAGAUGAUGGGCAGCUGUUUCACAUUGAUUUCGGACACUUCUUGGAUCACAAAAAGAAGAAGUUUGGCUAUAAACGAGAGCGUGUGCCGUUUGUCUUAACGCAAGAUUUCUUGAUAGUGAUUAGUAAAGGAGCCCAAGAAUGUACCAAAACAAGGGAAUUUGAAAGGUUCCAAGAAAUGUGUUAUAAAGCUUAUCUAGCAAUCCGGCAGCAUGCCAAUCUUUUCAUAAACCUCUUCUCCAUGAUGCUUGGUUCUGGGAUGCCAGAACUACAGUCUUUUGAUGACAUUGCAUAUAUUCGCAAGACUCUUGCAUUGGACAAAACAGAGCAGGAAGCACUGGAGUAUUUCAUGAAACAGAUGAAUGAUGCUCAUCAUGGUGGCUGGACAACAAAAAUGGACUGGAUCUUUCAUACAAUCAAGCAACAUGCCUUGAACUGAAACAAAAAUGAAUGUGCUGAAAAACUGAUAACCCAUUUUGUGGCUGUUUCACUGCACUGUUGGCAGUAAAGUUUGGUUGCAUCUUAAUUGCACAAACCAUAAACAGCAUUUGAACUUGCAGCAAGAUUAAAAAACAACAACCUCAAAGCUAUUUAAAUACGUUAAACAGGGUUUCGGAACACUACAGACUGUGUAUUACAAAUACAACUUUUCCUGUAUGUACAGUCAUGUUAUGCCUUAAGUCCAGGAAGGUAUACUUCAGAGAUUUGUUUGAUUGAUUGGGGAAUCUGUGCCGAGCAUUAAAACCAGUCGUUCACAUGUUCCAGUUGGUCUGGUGUAAAUUGGGCCCAUGUAGGUUUGCAAAAGAAGGAAAGCUUAGCAAUAUUAAUUGCUCCUAAGAGUUUUCCUCUCCCAUGAACUUCAGUCAGUAAAUUAGAGAAGAUCGUGCCUUCAUAAUGUCAGAUAUAACUGGUGGAUUUUAGAGUAGCAAUUUUCUCAGUUUUUAUUUGACUAUUUCAAACAAGUUAUUAGGUGUAGAUCUUAAGAUUCUGCUGGACAGUAUUAGUAGGGUUUCAAUGAUUACCUCUCCCACCACCUCAAAAGUCUGGCUAGUGGGGAGGAUUGGGUUUAGUGCAACACUUUCAGAUUUGAUUUUUUUUUUCUAACCUAAACCUCAGUACAUUUUUUCAUGCAUGUUUUUCAGAACCUAAAAAGAGGUGAGUUAUUAGAAUUAAAGAUUAUUUUUAUAAAGGUUAUUUAUAUAACAGAAGCUAUUAAUAUAUAAUACUUCCUUACAUUGAUUUGUCCAGUUUUGUCAUUUUAAUUCUGUAGAUCAUUUCUCAUUCUAAGAGCCUACUUGUAUAAGCCGCUAGGCUGAUGUUGUGGUUUGUAGGAUCAUAUUUAAAGAUCCUUGUGCUGGUCUGGGGCAUGAGUUGUCCAUGUGUUCUUAGACGUGACUCUAAAGCCCUACACCAAGUUCACCUCUGGCAGGAAGGGAUUAGGAACUUUCCAACAGGAAGCUUGGUAGAGCAGCAUAGGUACACCCCACUAUUUAGUACGCUGCUUAGGUGCAUCAGCACAAACUUCUAUUCCUGUGGUUGACCCUCUAUGACAAGGCUAAUUUGUUUGCUUGGAAGCGUUUUUCUGUUGAAAUCUGUGGGAUCCUUUUCCAAGUAUCACACUUUAAAGACUAGAAUGUCCAACUCCAUUGUCUAUAGCUUUCUCAAAUUUUGAUAGUGAGUUUAAGUCAAGCAACAAACCCUUGCUGAAAUUCAAAUUUCACUUGGCAGAUCAAUGGUAAUCCUUGGCGUGGGACCAGGUAGAUCAGUGGGAAUGCAAAGACUUUGACUUUGCCUAAGUGCUCCCAAGGAGCAACAUUCUCUUGCAAAACCUCUUUGAUUGGCUUUCAGUACAAUGCUCUUCAGCAUAAUCAGAAGAGAGACUUGCAUGAUUUGGGCAAUGAGGGGAGGGGAAGAUGAGUACCCUUCACCCUCUGCUUUUUCACCCAGUGCUGGCACACACAGAUUAAGAUCAGUUAUUGGAAAAGCUUUUGCUUCCACUAGUAACUGUUUUUACUUCCAACGGAAGUAUAAGCAGAAAGUUUUUCCUUCCAGUGGAAGUAUAAACAGAACGAUAACUUGUAACAAAUGCUUCCAGUGCCAAUGUCAGCUCUGGGAUUUUAGGGUGGAAUGAGGCCCCACAUGUCUUCCUUCAAAUACUAUCUCAGGCAAUACUCUUCAAAUGAUAUGCUGGGCAUUUUGUUAAUCCUGGACUUUGGAGUCCAUCUCUGUCUUAGCCCUCUUUCUUGGACUGUUAAACAGAAGCUGCUUAAUUGCAGUAACUAACAUACUAGAAAAUCACUGUAUUUUCAAUCCGAUCAUUAAAUGGUCCUUUGUACUGCAAAAGAGACAAUAGUCCAUAGCAUGCAGAGCUAGCAACCAAUAUUUUAUACGUGUGUGUGUGUGUGUGUGUGUGUGUGUACAUACAUACAUAUAUAUAUACAUAUAUAUAUAUAUCUGUAUAUAUCUGUCUUUAAAACAACAAAACUGAUACAACUAGCAGAACCAUUGGUACAACGUAUUCCAAAAUGUCUUUUUUAAUAAGGCCAGGUAUUUUGAGCCCGGGAUAUGUAAGGUGCCAUUUCUUCCAUAUUAAUGUUAUUGUCUCACAGCAUCUGAAAAUGUUUCAGAAAUUUGGAUAUUUGAGUUCACUUGCCUUUUCUUCUGUCCUUCAAAUCUAGGUAUUACUUGGAGUGCAAUACCAUUUUGAACAUAAUUUGCUGACGUUAGGUCAUUAUAAAUAAAUUUGUAUAGACUUAAUGGACAAGAGGCUAUGUUUCUUCAGCAAGAUAAAUAUUAAGUAGGCUGCUUGUUGUUGUUGAACUUGAAAGGGGAAAAAACCACCCACCAUGCCGAGUGUUUUAUUUUUGUGGAUACAGAUUUGCAGCUGCAGAGGUAACAUAACUGUUACCAGGCUGCCCUGGUAAAAAUUACAAAUACACUCUUCUUGAAAACUAAUAUCUAUACAAAUAAUGCCAAGUGGGUUUGUAGAAUGAAAGCCAAGGCUAGACUGGUGGAAAUAGGGACAUAUGAAUUGUCUGAGUUGAGGUGGAGAGAAGACUGUUAGCCAAAAGUCUCACUGGUUCCCAGCCAAUGUGCUUGUUUUCUUCUCUAUGUUGUCUUGUAUAUUAUUGUCAUAGAUAGAUAAUGAAUGAAUGACUCUUAGGCUGUAGUCAACAGUUUUGCAGCUUUUGGUCUGCUCACUUGGGAAUAAUGAUAAACUUAAUACUGUGAUAUUUUUAUAAGAACAUAGACCCUAUCUUAUAACAAGUCAGUCAAUGGAUCCACCUAAUUCAUUAAUUUUUAUGCAAAUAGGCAGCCUGUCCAGGAUUUUUUUAAUUGUCCUUUCUUGAAACACCAGGGGUUGAACCUGCAAACUUUUGCAGUCAAAGCAUGUGCUCUACCACUGAGCAGUGACCCUUUCGUAAUCCAUAUCCUAUUCCUUUAGCAAUUGUAAUACAUGUAUAUUUUACCAUACAGAAUAUCAUCAUCUUUAGUUGUGUUCUAGUUCUCCACACUUAAAAAGGUCAAUGAGAAAUCUUGACUGGUUACAGAAGCAUGUGGCAUCAUUUCUGGCAAGCUUUUGUUGUGUUCAGGUGGGUGGUUGCAGAUUCUACCUUUCAAGACUAUGAAGAUUAAGGUUGGGUUUUUUUGCGGGGAGGGGAGAAUGCAUAAUGUCUGCUGAAGACUUAAACCAUUUCAAGGCUUCAAGUGCUGACCACCUAAUUCCUGGCUCUAUGGUGCCAGCAAGCAGAAGUAGUUAGGAAGGGUAUAUACAACUGUUAAAAUCUGCUGUUCUAUUGAUACUUCUGUGGUUGACUUUGGGCCUUGAAUACUGGUAUAAUGGUCUAAAGAUUCAAAAUUGGGUUUAGUAAGUACAAAUUCAAACAACUUUUACUCUUUAAACACCUUGAAAGAAACCGGCUUUCUGGGAGUGAUACUUUGAAAAGUGAGGGGCUGUUCCCCAACUAAUGAUGUUAUUUCCCUGUCUUUUGCUUCCCUUUUUCUGAAGAUGCUCCUACCACAGCUUCAGUCCACCCACUAAAAUUGCUUGGGGACCAAUUCUCUUGCCAUGAAUACCACCUGCUGCACUUCUUCCCUGGCUUGGGCAAGUGGACAACCAACUGAUAGCCCGCAAAGGGCUGGCCCCUGGCCCAGGGGUCUCCAGUUGUUGACCUGACUAGUAGCCGAAGGACGGUCUUGUGGUGGGACUUGAAAAAAGCAGAGGAAGCUAGCCAGAACAACAGAAUAGGUUUAGAGGUGUGGCCAUGGAAGAGUUAAAAGGGAAUUGCAGAAGAAUAUGAAUGAUCUGAAAGGGGGGGGGAUAGCAUAAGUGAAGAGAGAAAUAAAUGGCUAUGCUGCUUUUUGGCCAAGAACUCUCAAACCACUGCCCUGCAAUCUUGAUGGCUAAGAUUUUAAUAAUAACAAUGUAUGUGCAUGGUUACAUAUAGGGGGUUAGGGGAGGGGUAGUACAUCUGGUGGAGGACACAUUAUGCUACUUCUGGGGUAGUUUACCCACCUUUGGCCCGCAGCCUGCACUCUCCUAUCACCUGUGGCUUCUAGAAGCUAUCAGCAUGUAACAGCAGCCACCUGAACAACAGAUUGAGCAGACCCACAGCUCACCUGAUCACCAUCUUUGUCACUAUAGUGAGAUGCAUUGUAUUUCUAUUUGAAUUUUAAUAAAUGUUUCUAAAUUUG
Molecule: non-coding RNA, 8379 nt
Organism: Podarcis muralis (Common wall lizard)
Lineage: Eukaryota; Metazoa; Chordata; Lepidosauria; Squamata; Lacertidae
Source: RefSeq, a predicted model, not a curated record